RNA transcript from Zingiber officinale, 954 nucleotides. It is a transcript of the gene named DNA-binding protein MNB1B-like, with no coding region annotated. NCBI's taxonomy places the organism in Eukaryota, Viridiplantae, Streptophyta, Magnoliopsida, Zingiberales, Zingiberaceae. The record is from RefSeq and is a predicted model, not a curated record. The transcript is spliced from 7 exons.
UUCUUUCUUUAUCUCUUCACACUGGCGAACCCCAUCUACGAAACCCCUCCUCGCCUUCUCUUCUGAUCCUCUUCACUUUCGCCUCCGCAUCCCAUUGAUCGAUCGCUCCUCCUCUCCUACGCCGUAGAACCCUAAUCUCAAGAUCUCAUCAUGAAGAGGGGGAAAUCAAAGACUGACGCUCCCAAGAAGGCUGAUACCAAGCUUUCGGUGAAGAAGGGACCGGAACGAGCGGCGAAGAAGCCAAGGAAGUUCAAAGAUGGCAAGGAUCCCAACACGCCCAAGAGGCCUCAGAGUGCCUUCUUCGUCUUCAUGGAAGAAUUUUGGAAGAUGUUCAAGGAAAAGAACCCUAAUAACAAGUCAGUUGCAGUGGUUGCAAAAGCUGGAGGAGACAAGUGGAAAUCUUUGACAGAAGAAAGAAAGCUCCAUACGUAGCCAAGGCGGCAAAGCUCAAAGCUGGUUACACCAAAACCAUGGUUUCCUACAACAAAAGCCAGUCUGGUGGAGGAGGAGGAAGUUGUGCUGCUGCCACAGAUGAAGCAGAAGAAGAAGGUGAGGAAUCCGACAAGUCAAAAUCCAAGGUGAAUGAUGAUGAUGAUGAAGAAGAGGUUUGAAAUCUAAUAAUAAUAAAAAAGAAGCUAUUUUCCACAUUAUGUCUCUAUAAAUAAAACAUUGUUGAACGAUGAAUAGGAUGAAGAGGAUGAUGAAUAAGGGAAUUGCAUCUGCAACUCAAGAUUAUCUCUUUUCCUUUCCAUUUUUUCCCUUGUUGUAGUUUUAAUUUGGACCCGAAGAAAUCGUAAAAAUUAUCAACUUUUCAUUAUCUUCUCUAAUGGUAAAAGUCCGAACUAUCCUAAUGUACUUAACUUUUGUCUAACUUGAUCUAAUCUAGUUCCAAUUUAUCUUGCUCUAAGUGCAGUGAUCUUUGCUUAAAGUAGUGCUUUCAGUCCUUUACAGGAA